RNAcentral lists this small nuclear RNA (23 nucleotides) under Arabidopsis thaliana (thale cress). RNAcentral describes it as "snRNA_08970". Lineage: Eukaryota; Viridiplantae; Streptophyta; Magnoliopsida; Brassicales; Brassicaceae. The record is from RNAcentral.
GGGUUGCGGGUAAUUUCAGAUAC